UAGAGGCGGUGUCUCGCUUUGUGGCCCCUUUUCAGAGAACUUUUGUUCACUAUACUGAGCUACAAUGAUAGUGGUUCUGCUCCCUGACAAAUACCGGGAUUCAGCUAAUCUCUGCAGCUUUGCCAGUCAGCUGAGCUAGGAUAGGAUUAACAUGCUCAUGUGUAAACUGAUGUGACCAACAAGGCCACAUGCUCCAGCAUGGAACUGAAGGAUAAUAGUUGCUUCUGCCUCAUAAGACUGAUGUGAGGAUAAAAUGAGAUGUGUAAAGUACUUUGCAGAUACAGUGCUUGAUAAAGUGCAGCUAUUAUUGUUGGAGGCAAGGCUGCUUACAGUCCGGGCCAAGUUUAUCUUCAGGCAAUUAUUAUUAUUAUUAUUUCUGAGACAGGGUCUCCCUCUGUUGCCCAGACUGGAGUGCAGUGGCACAAUCUCGGCACACUGCAACCUCUGCCUCCCAGGCUCAAGCAUUCUUGUUCCUCAGCCUCCUGAGUAGCUGGAAUUAUAGGCUUGAACCACCACGCCUGGCUAAUUUUUGUAUUUUUAGUUUUGCAAUGUUGGCCAGACUGGUCUUGAACUCCUGACCUCAAGCUCAAGUGAUAUGCCCUCUUUGGCCUCCCAAAGUGCUGGGAUUACAGGCAUGAGCCACCAUGCCCUGCCCAGACAAUUAUUUUGAAUCUUCUUUAACACCAAGACAAAUAGGGCAUAAAGCAUGACUUAAAAUUUUUUAACCUGGAAAUAUUUUAAAGUAGUUGUAACCCGCUAAGCUAUUAAAGACAAACAAACAACAACACAUGUGCAGAAAUUCCAUAAGCACCCAUAUAUUACCUGGCUUUGAGAAAUGUAAUUUACUUUUGUCCUUUCAGAUAAGCCAGCUGCAGAAUAUAUCCUGAGGUACCUGCUUUAUGGAAUUAUUCACACUAUUCACCAACAGGAAGAAUAAAGUCAAUCAAUUCAAGGAGUCUCAGAACAGGAGCACAUAGACACCAAACUUUGUGGGACAACAAAUAUAAUGAAGAGUAUGUUUGCGUCUUUCAAACAAGUGAGUGAACGAGG
RNAcentral lists this long non-coding RNA (1050 nucleotides) under Homo sapiens (human). RNAcentral describes it as "HSALNT0408369". Lineage: Eukaryota; Metazoa; Chordata; Mammalia; Primates; Hominidae. The record is from RNAcentral.